RNAcentral lists this ribosomal RNA (484 nucleotides) under uncultured bacterium. RNAcentral describes it as "partial 16S ribosomal RNA". It matches the Rfam family "Bacterial small subunit ribosomal RNA", at positions 29 to 507 of the family's 1533-position model. The record is from RNAcentral.
AUUGAACGCUGGCGGCAUGCUUUACACAUGCAAGUCGAACGGCAGCGCGGGCUUCGGCCUGGCGGCGAGUGGCGAACGGGUGAGUAAUACAUCGGAACGUGCCCAGUAGUGGGGGAUAGCUCGGCGAAAGCCGGAUUAGUACCGCAUACGACCUGAGGGUGAAAGCGGGGGAUCUUCGGACCUCGCGCUAUUGGAGCGGCCGAUGGCAGAUUAGCUAGUUGGUGGGGUAAAGGCCUACCAAGGCGACGAUCUGUAGCUGGUCUGAGAGGACGACCAGCCACACUGGGACUGAGACACGGCCCAGACUCCUACGGGAGGCAGCAGUGGGGAAUUUUGGGCAAUGGGCGAAAGCCUGAUCCAGCAAUGCCGCGUGUGUGAUGAAGGCCUUCGGGUUGUAAAGCACUUUUGGCGGGAACGAAAAGGACUGUGCCAAUACCACGGUUCGAUGACGGUACCCGCAGAAUAAGCACCGGCUAACUACGUG